Molecule: ribosomal RNA, 253 nt
Filed under: uncultured bacterium
Lineage: Bacteria
Description: partial 16S ribosomal RNA
Rfam family: Bacterial small subunit ribosomal RNA
Source: RNAcentral
GACGUAGGUGGCAAGCGUUGUCCGGAUUUACUGGGCGUAAAGGGCGUGCAGGCGGUUUGUUAAGUCUAGGGUGAAAGCUCCCGGCUCAACUGGGAGAGGUCCUUGGAUACUGGCAGACUUGAGGAGGGUAGAGGAGAGUGGAAUUCCCGGUGUAGUGGUGAUAUGCGUAGAUAUCGGGAGGAACACCAGUGGCGAAGGCGGCUCUCUGGGCCCUACCUGACGCUGAGACGCGAAAGCGUGGGGAGCGAACCGG